RNAcentral lists this ribosomal RNA (403 nucleotides) under bacterium. RNAcentral describes it as "partial 16S ribosomal RNA". It matches the Rfam family "Bacterial small subunit ribosomal RNA", at positions 355 to 776 of the family's 1533-position model. The record is from RNAcentral.
UGGGGAAUAUUGCACAAUGGAGGGAACUCUGAUGCAGCGACGCCGCGUGAACGAAGAAGGCUUUCGAGUCGUAAAGUUCUUUUAUAUGGGAAGAUAAUGACGGUACCAUAAGAAAAAGCCCCGGCUAACUACGUGCCAGCAGCCGCGGUAAUACGUAGGGGGCUAGCGUUGUCCGGAAUCACUGGGCGUAAAGGGUUCGCAGGCGGAAUUGCAAGUCAGGUGUAAAAGGCAGUAGCUUAACUACUGUAAGCAUUUGAAACUGCAUAUCUUGAGAAGAGUAGAGGUAAGUGGAAUUUUUAGUGUAGCGGUGAAAUGCGUAGAUAUUAAAAAGAAUACCGGUGGCGAAGGCGGCUUACUGGGCUCAUUCUGACGCUGAGGAACGAAAGCGUGGGUAGCAAACAGG